RNAcentral lists this unclassified non-coding RNA (2046 nucleotides) under Sipha flava (yellow sugarcane aphid). RNAcentral's name for it is "serine/threonine-protein kinase NLK, transcript variant X3". The record is from RNAcentral. Lineage: Eukaryota; Metazoa; Arthropoda; Insecta; Hemiptera; Aphididae.
CCAUACAGUAGUCAUUCACUCGCGUCAUCCAGUGUCGGUCGAGUGGUCCGGUGCUCCGCGUGCGACUAUCAUCGUGUGCCGCGUGCUUGUGUACGCGUCUUUUCGUGCGUGUGUACGACUGUUGUGCGCAUCGGUCCGUGGGGCGCGCUCGUUACGUAUUCUCUCGUCGUAAUCACAUUCCUCGUUUUCUCUCUCUCUCUCUCUCCCCACAAUACUGUUCCCCGUCGUCUCUUAUCAGUAGCGUAAAAGGUGUCCGACGGGCAGUACCGCGACCGCUGCCGAGAAUAGACCGACGGGUUGGGUGGCCGAACAAUGUGUUAAACGUAUAUGAAAUAUAAUUAAUCGUUCGCUAAAAAACACCCCGCGUACACACGUGCACGCAUGCCGUCGCCGCGGUGAAGAUAUCAAUUUAUUCCGCCGCAGUGUCAGUGCCCGUUUUUUCGUUCUCGCGACCGUUGAUUUCGUCGUGACCGGUCGUCCGCAUCGCAGUAAAUGAGAACUAGACCCGCGCACCGGAAUUCGUGGAUCAACCGCCGCUGACGUACUGUUAUGGCUGUGGUCGGCCCGAGCCGACACUCGAGGGUGUCAAUGUCGCUGAUGCAGGGCUCAACCAAUGGUCCGGUCGGCAACCACCAGCAGGCCAGCGCUUCGCAACAGUUUUUCCAUGCUCAACAGCAGUCCCAUCACGCUGCACAAUCGGCCACCGCACAUUCUGUAGACUACAAGCCCGACAGACCGAUUGGAUAUGGUGCCUUCGGAGUCGUCUGGGCUGUAACAGAUCCACGAGACGGUCGGAGAGUUGCACUAAAAAAACUUCCAAAUGUUUUUCAAUCAUUAGUCUCCUCAAAACGAGUGUUUAGAGAACUAAAAAUGUUGUGCAAUUUUAAGCAUGAAAAUGUUUUGUCCGCCCUUGACAUUCUGCAACCGCCUCAUUUGGAUUUCUUUCAAGAAAUAUACGUUAUUACUGAGCUAAUGCAGAGUGACUUACACAAAAUUAUAGUGUCGCCACAGCAGCUAUCACCGGACCAUAUAAAAGUUUUUCUGUACCAGAUUUUAAGAGGUCUCAAGUACCUUCACUCAGCACGAAUAUUGCACAGAGACAUCAAACCUGGCAAUCUACUCGUCAACAGUAAUUGUAUUUUAAAGAUAUGCGACUUUGGUCUGGCCCGAGUAGAAGAACCGGACGAGACGAAGCACAUGACUCAAGAAGUGGUUACCCAGUACUACAGGGCGCCGGAAAUAUUGAUGGGCGCCAAGCACUACACCGCGGCCAUAGACGUGUGGAGCGUCGGUUGUAUAUUCGCCGAGCUAGUCACCCGGCGGAUACUGUUCCAAGGCCAAGACACGGUUCAACAAUUGGAGCUCAUAACGGACUUGCUCGGCACGCCGACGAUGGAAGACAUGGCGCACGCGUGCCCGGCCGCCCGUUCCCACAUGCUCAUACGGCGCAUGAAGAAACCGUCCAUGUCGUUGCUGUACUCCCUGUCAUCGCUGAUGACCCACGAGGCGGUUCACCUGAUUUCGCAGAUGCUCGUCUUCAACCCGGACAAACGUAUGUCCGUCAUGGACGCGCUGGUUCAUCCGUACAUAGACGAAGGCCGGCUCAGGUACCACAGCUGCAUGUGCAAGUGCUGUUUCACCGUGCCGUUGACGGGCCUCAGACAUUUUUGUAUGGACUACGAACCGAUCGCGCCGCAGACGUUCGACGACAAAUGGGAAAAGAAGCUGUCGAACGUGCAACAAGUCAAAGAGGAACUUCACAAGUUUAUCGGCGACCAGUUAAGUAGUCACCGUGUACCAUUGUGCAUAAAUCCACAGUCGGCAGCAUUUAAAAGUUUCUCGAGGUAAGGCUGUGAGGAACAUUCGACUCUUCUGAAUCACCAAAUAUACUACACCUCGACUAACCGAAAAUUGGCUCUUCCCCGAAAAAAUUGUCGACCUUCGCAGUGAAUAAUCUCUUACGAUGAUCUAUCGAAAUGUUUCAUGAUUACAAGAAUAGUCUCACUCCGACUGUGCAUUAUAGCAAAAAUAAAUCCAAGUUGUUUA